Molecule: ribosomal RNA, 254 nt
Filed under: uncultured bacterium
Lineage: Bacteria
Description: partial 16S ribosomal RNA
Rfam family: Bacterial small subunit ribosomal RNA
Source: RNAcentral
UACGAAGGGGGCUAGCGUUGCUCGGAAUCACUGGGCGUAAAGCGCACGUAGGCGGAUUGCUAAGUCAGGGGUGAAAUGCCGAGGCUCAACCUCGGAACUGCCUUUGAUACUGGCGAUCUUAGAGUCCGGGAGAGGUGAGUGGAACUCCGAGUGUAGAGGUGAAAUUCGUAGAUAUUCGGAAGAACACCAGUGGCGAAGGCGGCUCACUGGCCCGGUACUGACGCUCAGGUGCGAAAGCGUGGGGAGCAAACAGG